UUGAGUAAGUUUUUAGUUUUUCUUAAAUAAUCCCUCAUUUCCUGACUUAUGUCUCUAGUUUCAGGCAGAAAUUAUAUUUUAAUCCCUCACUAGAAUGUUCUAUGGGAUUACUAUCAGAUUUUUAAAGUUCAAAUCCUCCUUAUACCCCUAUUCAUCUUCCUAAAUAACCAACCUAAGGUUUUAAUAUUCAGUUAUCUAGUUAAG
RNAcentral lists this long non-coding RNA (204 nucleotides) under Nicotiana benthamiana. Its description in RNAcentral is "long non-coding RNA (NBEN_LNC008091)". The record is from RNAcentral. Lineage: Eukaryota; Viridiplantae; Streptophyta; Magnoliopsida; Solanales; Solanaceae.